RNAcentral lists this ribosomal RNA (334 nucleotides) under Brachistosternus roigalsinai. Its description in RNAcentral is "partial 12S small subunit ribosomal RNA". The record is from RNAcentral. Lineage: Eukaryota; Metazoa; Arthropoda; Arachnida; Scorpiones; Bothriuridae.
UAAAAACUUAUUUAUUUUAGGUAGUAACAGAUUUCUUGAAACCUAAAGAAUUUGGCGGUAUUUUAAAUAAUUAGAGGAACCUGUUAAUUAAAUGAUAAUCCACAACAUAUCUUACCUAAAUUGAAUUUGUAUACCAUUGUUUUUAGAUUAUAUUUAAAAAUUAUAAUCGUAAUUAAUUAGUUUUUACAAAUCAAAUCAAGGUGCAGUAUAUUUAGGUUUUGAUGGGUUACAAUAUAUUUAUAUAAACGGACAGAUAAUGAAAAUAUUUUUUGAAGGUGGAUUUAAAAGUAAUUUGAAAUUAAAAUGUUCAAAUGAAUGAAAAUUUAAAAUAUGC